RNAcentral lists this ribosomal RNA (499 nucleotides) under uncultured Acidobacteriota bacterium. RNAcentral's name for it is "bacterial SSU rRNA". It matches the Rfam family "Bacterial small subunit ribosomal RNA", at positions 1005 to 1505 of the family's 1533-position model. Lineage: Bacteria; Pseudomonadati; Acidobacteriota. The record is from RNAcentral.
AAGCUCUCUUUGUAGCAAUACACUGCCAGUAAGGUGCUGCAUGGCUGUCGUCAGCUCGUGCCGUGAGGUGUUGGGUUAAGUCCCGCAACGAGCGCAACCCUUAUCCCCAGUUGCCAUCAUUUAGUUGGGCACUCUGGUGAAACCGCCUCGGAUAACGGGGAGGAAGGUGGGGAUGACGUCAAGUCCUCAUGGCCUUUAUGUCCAGGGCUACACACGUGCUACAAUGGCCGGUACAAACCGUCGCAAACCCGCGAGGGGGAGCUAAUCGGAAAAAGCCGGCCUCAGUUCGGAUUGCAGUCUGCAACUCGACUGCAUGAAGCUGGAAUCGCUAGUAAUCGCGGAUCAGAACGCCGCGGUGAAUACGUUCCCGGGCCUUGUACACACCGCCCGUCACAUCACGAAAGUGGGUUGCACUAGAAGCCGGUGAGCUAACCGAAAGGAAGCAGCCGUCCAAGGUGUAAUUCAUGAUUGGGGUGAAGUCGUAACAAGGUAGCCGUAA